Molecule: ribosomal RNA, 301 nt
Filed under: uncultured bacterium
Lineage: Bacteria
Description: partial 16S ribosomal RNA
Rfam family: Bacterial small subunit ribosomal RNA
Source: RNAcentral
CAGCAGCCACGGUAAUACGGAGGGUGCAAGCGUUAAUCGGAAUUACUGGGCGUAAUGCGCACGCAGGCGGUUUGUUAAGUCAGAUGUGAAAUCCCCGAGCUUAACUUGGGAACUGCAUUUGAAACUGGCAAGCUAGAGUCUUGUAGAGGGGGGUAGAAUUCCAGGUGUAGCGGUGAAAUGCGUAGAGAUCUGGAGGAAUACCGGUGGCGAAGGCGGCCCCCUGGACAAAGACUGACGCUCAGGUGCGAAAGCGUAGGGAGCAAACAGGAUUAGAUACCCCGGUAGUCCCUGUCUCUUAUAC